RNAcentral lists this long non-coding RNA (549 nucleotides) under Volvox carteri. Its description in RNAcentral is "long non-coding RNA (VCAR_LNC000969)". The record is from RNAcentral. Lineage: Eukaryota; Viridiplantae; Chlorophyta; Chlorophyceae; Chlamydomonadales; Volvocaceae.
GGAAUUGGAGGCUAUGAGGUUGGGUUCGUGUAUGUAUGUACAUAUGUAUGUAUGUAUGUAUGUGGGAGGUCUGGGGCGUUGAGGAGGGGAACUCGCCACCACAGACCAACAAACGCUGACUUGGGCCCUUGCCCCCCGGCCCCUUCCCCGCCCCCGGCCCCGUCCUGUCGCGUCUCCUUUCUGGCUCUUCCUUACCCCCCAACGUACAUACAUACACACACCUCCCUGCCCCCCCUCCUCCCAGCUGACGGCGACGCCAUGCGGCUGGUCCGGGAGUUGGAGUUCAAUUUGAAGUCCGCCCUGGGGGCGCUGGAGAAGGCCUCCGGCGACCAGAACGAGAUGACGGGCAAGGUCAUAAUGAAGGUGAGGGGGGGGGGGAACUGGCGGGGGUGUGAGUUGUAUGUGUGAUGUGUGUGUAUGUGUUUAUGUGUGUAUAUAUGUAUGUGUGUACACGUGUGUAUGUGUGUAUGUGUGCGAAAUGCGAAAGGAAAACGUUUGCCGAUCUCAAGAGCAAAGCAAUACCACCCUGCCGGAGUCCGCUGCCGAAGN